This 253-nucleotide ribosomal RNA is filed under the name uncultured bacterium. Its description in RNAcentral is "partial 16S ribosomal RNA". It matches the Rfam family "Bacterial small subunit ribosomal RNA", at positions 524 to 776 of the family's 1533-position model. The record is from RNAcentral.
UACGUAGGGGGCAAGCGUUGUCCGGAAUCAUUGGGCGUAAAGCGCGUGUAGGCGGCUCGGUAAGUCUGCUGUGAAAGUCCAGGGCUCAACCCUGGGAUGCCGGUGGAUACUGUCGAACUCGAGUCCGGAAGAGGCGAGUGGAAUUCCUGGUGUAGCGGUGAAAUGCGCAGAUAUCAGGAGGAACACCAAUGGCGAAGGCAGCUCGCUGGGACGUGACUGACGCUGAGACGCGAAAGCGUGGGGAGCAAACAGG